Molecule: ribosomal RNA, 448 nt
Filed under: uncultured bacterium
Lineage: Bacteria
Description: bacterial SSU rRNA
Rfam family: Bacterial small subunit ribosomal RNA
Source: RNAcentral
CCCAGACUCCUACGGGAGGCAGCAGUGGGGGAUAUUGCACAAUGGGGGAAACCCUGAUGCAGCGACGCCGCGUGGGUGAAGAAGUAUUUCGGUAUGUAAAGCACUAUCAGCAGGGAAGAAAGAAGACGGUACCUGACUAAGAAGCCCCGGCUAACUACGUGCCAGCAGCCGCGGUAAUACGUAGGGGGCGAGCGUUAUCCGGAUUCACUGGGUGUAAAGGGAGCGUAGACGGCCGUGCAAGCCAGGAGUGAAAGCCCGGGGCCCAACCCCGGGACUGCUCUUGGAACUGUGCGGCUGGAGUGCGGGAGGGGCAGGCGGAAUUCCUGGUGUAGCGGUGAAAUGCGUAGAUAUCAGGAGGAACACCGGCGGCGAAGGCGGCCUGCUGGACCGCGACUGACGUUGAGGCUCGAAAGCGUGGGGAGCGAACAGGAUUAGAUACCCCAGUACC